GUCGCUCCAAGAAACGGCUCGUGAGUGUGGGGCUCGGUUCCCUCUCCUCCAGUUCUCCACCACGCGCGGUCUAGUCACCUGCCGCCGCCCCGACUCCACCGGAGCCCCAACUGCUGCCGCUGGAUACAUCUGGUCGAAGUACCAGUAGGUCCGCCGGAAACACCGAGUCCCGGUGCCUCUGGCCAUGGAGCAAGGGAGUCUGGUAAAGGAGCUAUUUUACCAAGGCAACGGGCCUCCGGGGCUCGGAGAGGCCAGGAUCCUCCUUCGAUCUGAGCAAACAAAUUCCACCUUCCAGAUCAAGGUGAUUGUGUUGAUUCUGCUGCUCUUUCCAAGCCAUUGAGUCAUGCCCGAGGAAAGAGGUGGGCAACUUAGGAGAAGCUAGUUGAAGAAAUUUUGGCUCUUGCUCCCUGAAUAACAGAAUCUGUUAUCACUUUUUUUCCAUUAGUCAGCUGAACAGGAACGUGUACCUGUACUUCUACUGAAACUUAACGACACUGCUCCUCAAAGAAAGACGGUUAUUAUACUACUGCACAACUCUUACAAAUGCAAGGAAUGGUUGUGUCCACUGCUUCAGGCACUGAACUCAUCUUGGAGGAGUGGGAAAACUAUACCUUUCAUUUUUACACGCAGUGGAGAUCAUUGACUAAAGAGGACGAUCGGGGAGCUCUGGACAUGCUAAUCUCUAAAAUUCGGGCCUCGACGUCCUCCACAUCCGGGCAGGCUCAUGACGUCUAAUCUUGUUUGGUGCUUCAUCGUCCCUCCUAUCUGUUGGUGUUUCCGUUAUCCCUCCGACCUGCGUGCCGUGUUUGGCAAGUUGCCAUGUACCGCUUAUACUCUCGUGUGUCCUGGUUUUAUUCUGUUACUGUGGUUGGUGGGUGUUUCGCCCUGGGUGUUGAUGUUGGGCUUAUGACGCUGCCUCGUGGCUUUAUUUAUAAAGUCGGGCUUAGACCUUUUCUCUAAAAAAGAAAACACGCACAAGCGGUCGAAGAUGAGAUUACAUAUCUCAUCCACAUAAUUUACAAGUGACG
Molecule: long non-coding RNA, 1028 nt
Organism: Triticum aestivum (bread wheat)
Lineage: Eukaryota; Viridiplantae; Streptophyta; Magnoliopsida; Poales; Poaceae
Exons: 4
Source: RefSeq, a predicted model, not a curated record